GUGCAUCUAGCUCAAUUGGUAGAGCGGAAGGUUUUUUCCCUUGUGGUCGUGAGUUUGAACCCCACGGUGGACG
This 73-nucleotide transfer RNA is filed under the name Amborella trichopoda. It matches the Rfam family "tRNA". From Rfam's summary of the family: Transfer RNA (tRNA) molecules are approximately 80 nucleotides in length. Their secondary structure includes four short double-helical elements and three loops (D, anti-codon, and T loops). Lineage: Eukaryota; Viridiplantae; Streptophyta; Magnoliopsida; Amborellales; Amborellaceae. The record is from Rfam by way of RNAcentral.